Molecule: transfer RNA, 69 nt
Filed under: Orientocreadium sp. HS
Lineage: Eukaryota; Metazoa; Platyhelminthes; Trematoda; Plagiorchiida; Orientocreadiidae
Description: tRNA-Pro
Source: RNAcentral
UCAAGAGAGUAGUUUAACUAGAAUAAUAAUUUUGGGGAUUAUAGGUCUUUACUAAUAGAGCUUCUUGAU